RNAcentral lists this long non-coding RNA (275 nucleotides) under Macaca nemestrina (pig-tailed macaque). Its description in RNAcentral is "lncRNA (ENSMNEG00000045845.1)". Lineage: Eukaryota; Metazoa; Chordata; Mammalia; Primates; Cercopithecidae. The record is from RNAcentral.
GACUAAGGAGCCGCAAGAGCGUUCCCUGAACCCUUCUCCACGGGGCCGUGAUUCUCGGCAGCGAGCCUCCAACUGUGGCAACCCUCGGUGGGAGGCAAGAUUCCUCUCAGAGACGAGAUGCUGAGGAAGAUGCUGAGAGACGCCUUGGGGGACCUUCUCAGAAGAGAAAAGCAAGCCCCGCUGGACCUUCCAGAAAGGCAGGAAUGAGGGGAAGGCAAUGAGGAAGUACAACCAGAAGUUGGGAUGAGUUGGCCUUGAGAUGGAAGAGAUUGGAG